GAACAUGAAGGAAAACUGACUGUGACAUCUGUCAACACAUUGAUUUUCAGCAUUGAUACAGAUGGUCUGAGCUGAUCCCUGGUCUCCUUUAUCACUUCAUUUGUGUCCCUUCCAGUGUUAUGUGCUUAUUAAAGAGGACCAGUCAUGAAGGGUAUUUAAAAGGUACGUUCCCUUUGUAUAAUUUCCAGGCAUGUCACACUUUAUUCUAAGGUAAAUCUGUAGAACAUAAAUCUGUAGAACAAACAGACACAUUCUGGUUGGGUGAGUCCUUUUUCU
RNAcentral lists this small nuclear RNA (276 nucleotides) under Carlito syrichta (Philippine tarsier). Its description in RNAcentral is "7SK RNA (ENSTSYG00000025301.2)". It matches the Rfam family "7SK RNA". From Rfam's summary of the family: 7SK was discovered as an abundant small nuclear RNA in the mid-70s but a possible function has only recently been suggested. Two independent studies have found that 7SK RNA binds the CDK9/cyclin T complex (known as elongation factor P-TEFb). The record is from Rfam by way of RNAcentral. Lineage: Eukaryota; Metazoa; Chordata; Mammalia; Primates; Tarsiidae.